UAUUGGACAAUGGGCGAAAGCCUGAUCCAGCCAUGCCGCGUGUGUGAAGAAGGUCUUCGGAUUGUAAAGCACUUUAAGUUGGGAGGAAGGGCAGUUACCUAAUACGUGAUUGUUUUGACGUUACCGACAGAAUAAGCACCGGCUAACUCUGUGCCAGCAGCCGCGGUAAUACAGAGGGUGCAAGCGUUAAUCGGAAUUACUGGGCGUAAAGCGCGCGUAGGUGGUUAGUUAAGUUGGAUGUGAAAUCCCCGGGCUCAACCUGGGAACUGCAUUCAAAACUGACUGACUAGAGUAUGGUAGAGGGUGGUGGAAUUUCCUGUGUAGCGGUGAAAUGCGUAGAUAUAGGAAGGAACACCAGUGGCGAAGGCGACCACCUGGACUGAUACUGACACUGAGGUGCGAAA
This 404-nucleotide ribosomal RNA is filed under the name uncultured bacterium. RNAcentral describes it as "bacterial SSU rRNA". It matches the Rfam family "Bacterial small subunit ribosomal RNA", at positions 362 to 758 of the family's 1533-position model. The record is from RNAcentral.